This 26-nucleotide non-coding RNA is filed under the name Homo sapiens (human). The record is from RNAcentral. Lineage: Eukaryota; Metazoa; Chordata; Mammalia; Primates; Hominidae. RNAcentral also lists the same sequence under 1 other name.
UGGUAGACAAUGAGGCCAUCUAUGAC